GACGAACGCUGGCGGCGUGCCUAAUACAUGCAAGUUGAGCGCUGAAGGUUGGUACUUGUACCAACUGGAUGAGCAGCGAACGGGUGAGUAACGCGUGGGGAAUCUGCCUUUGAGCGGGGGACAACAUUUGGAAACGAAUGCUAAUACCGCAUAAAAACUUUAAACACAAGUUUUAAGUUUGAAAGAUGCAAUUGCAUCACUCAAAGAUGAUCCCGCGUUGUAUUAGCUAGUUGGUGAGGUAAAGGCUCACCAAGGCGAUGAUACAUAGCCGACCUGAGAGGGUGAUCGGCCACAUUGGGACUGAGACACGGCCCAAACUCCUACGGGAGGCAGCAGCAGGGAAUCUUCGGCAAUGGACGAAAGUCUGACCGAGCAACGCCGCGUGAGUGAAGAAGGUUUUCGGAUCGUAAAACUCUGUUGGUAGAGAAGAACGUUGGUGAGAGUGGAAAGCUCAUCAAGUGACGGUAACUACCCAGAAAGGGACGGCUAACUACGUG
Molecule: ribosomal RNA, 497 nt
Filed under: uncultured bacterium
Lineage: Bacteria
Description: partial 16S ribosomal RNA
Rfam family: Bacterial small subunit ribosomal RNA
Source: RNAcentral